Molecule: ribosomal RNA, 372 nt
Filed under: Triticum aestivum (bread wheat)
Lineage: Eukaryota; Viridiplantae; Streptophyta; Magnoliopsida; Poales; Poaceae
Description: partial small subunit ribosomal RNA
Source: RNAcentral
AUGGCCGGAGCACUCGUCCUCUUCCAUUCCGGCGGCCAAACCACCCGGAUCCCGCGUCAUCUUCCACUCCGGCGGCCAGAUCACCUCGAGCCUGCGCAACACCGGAUCUGCAGAGGACGCGGUCCUCGUCCAUGGAUCUGGCCGAGGGAAAUCAUUUUCUCCAUUGUUUCCGUCGCAGGAUCCGUGUUGGGAUGGCAAGGCCGAUUUCUGAUGUCUUCCGUCGCGGGAUUUCAUCAUCAUCGCCGAUUCCAGUUGGGCCGCGACGGCGAGGGCACACAGCUGUGCAGAGACGUCGGCUUUGAUGUUUGCUCAGAGGCCACCAGCGGUUGGACCAUAAGGGUUAGGAUAAACUGCCUUGUGAGCAACAUUUGA